Molecule: ribosomal RNA, 483 nt
Filed under: uncultured bacterium
Lineage: Bacteria
Description: partial 16S ribosomal RNA
Rfam family: Bacterial small subunit ribosomal RNA
Source: RNAcentral
UUGCACGCUGGCGGCAGGCCUAACACAUGCAAGUCGAGCGGAUGAAGGGAGCUUGCUCCUGGAUUCAGCGGCGGACGGGUGAGUAAUGCCUAGGAAUCUGCCUGGUAGUGGGGGAUAACGUCCGGAAACGGGCGCUAAUACCGCAUACGUCCUGAGGGAGAAAGUGGGGGAUCUUCGGACCUCACGCUAUCAGAUGAGCCUAGGUCGGAUUAGCUAGUUGGUGGGGUAAAGGCCUACCAAGGCGACGAUCCGUAACUGGUCUGAGAGGAUGAUCAGUCACACUGGAACUGAGACGCGGUCCAGACGCCUACGGGAGGCAGCAGUGGGGAAUAUUGGACAAUGGGCGAAAGCCUGAUCCAGCCAUGCCGCGUGUGUGAAGAAGGUCUUCGGAUUGUAAAGCACUUUAAGUUGGGAGGAAGGGCAGUAAGUUAAUACCUUGCUGUUUUGACGUUACCAACAGAAUAAGCACCGGCUAACUUCGUG